AUUCUUGCACUGAAGACUGUGAUGCAUCUUGAUUCUUUUUUCUGAAGACUAGCCACAAGCUAAUGGAGCUGUUUUGCCCUCAAAAGGAAGAGAGAGUGGCUGUGGCUGGGAGUUUUAUGUUCAAUCCACCUCAUCCAACUUGGAAAGUCAGCUUCUUCCUUCAAAUAAGGGAGGUGAAUUUUGAGACUAUCCUUGGACUGCAAUUUAAGCUUGAGACAAAGGAAAUUGAUUGUGUUAUCUCUUUGUAACCCAAACACCUGUAAAUCUACUUCACCAAGCUUUGACAGUAUCUGAACACUUAUUGAUCUUAAAAUGGUACAAAAACCUUUACUUGUUUGCCAGUCAACAAAGGUUAGUAAGUAGUUAAUAUAAAUUUAAUAUUCUAAAGAAAAUGUGCACUUCUCGUAAACUUACACUUCCUAAUCUACUUCCCAGAUAACCAAAUCACUUUACUUUUUAUUCUGGAGAGGAAGUGAGUGGGACACAGAUGGUUUGACAUAUCAUUACGCCUUUUUUGUUGGGGUAGUCUUCAGUUUCACAUUUUUCUUCCGUCCUUCAUUUUUAUUCAAUUAUCUAACAAAUAAUUACUCUGUGCCUAACAUGUACUGGCUCUGGAGCUAUGAUUGUGAAUGAGAUAAACAUAGUUCAUGCUCUUGCAGAGCUUACAGAUUAGUGGAGAAAAUUCUCAAAAGGCACUAAUUAUAUAAUGCCAUGAUUGCUUUAAUGGGGCUAGUAUAGUGCAUAGUGGAAGCAGCUAUGUGGAACACAACCAUAGCUGACAAGGGAAAAUGGGCAAGGAAAACUUCUUGGGAAAAGGACAUCCAAGCUACAAUUUAAAAUACAGGUAGGAAUUAGCUAGGAAAAGCAGCUGAAAUAUCAUGUUCAAAGCAAGAUCAAAGACAGGAUAGUGGCUUCAGAUAAAUCCAAGUUGUUGAAAGGAGCUAGCUAAGAUAGUGGGUGAAAAGUGUGAUGCAAAGUCUAGGCCAAAUUCUAUACAAGGUUGGGAAUCAUUUAAAGCAUUUAGGCUGAAUCCUGAAAGAGGGACCACUGAAGUUUUGCAGGAAGAGAAAGAAGCAGUGAGUUUUAAAUGCAUUAACCAGAUUGGAGGAGGGCUAAACAAAGUAUUCUUGUAAUAAUCCAAGAGAGAGAUGAUGAAAGACUAAACUAAAAAGGUGUUAAUCGUGUUUAAACACUAGAACUGACAUGUUAGAGAUGAUAGAUUGAAUGGGCAAAUAAAUGAAAAGAAGGUUGCAAGGAUGGGCCUCUGGUUUCUAAUUCAGAAAAUAUAUAAUAUCUGAUGUUUUCCCCUAAGAUGAGAAACAUAAAUUCAUCUUUGAACAUGUAAAAUUUGAGCAAUGUGUGACAUAGAGUUGCCAACCGACUUUUAGAUACGUAACACAGAAUCAGGAGAGGUGUGGCCUAAAAUAUAUUGACUUGGGAAAGUAAAUGAUUGAAAGAGUAAGGAUGGUCUCAAACAAUGUAGUAUCUUGAGAGAUAGAAGCUUUUUGGUUUCAUGGAAGAAGGAGGGGUGGGGAAAAGAGAGAGAGAGAUUGAAAAUAAAAAAGAGAGGAUAAACUCAGGAUUAAGCUCCCUGAGAAGGCUAGGCAACAUAGAAUAGAGAUCACAAGUAGAAGAUAUAGCAGCCUUCAAAUUGAAGGAUACUUCUGCCAUUUUAACAGGAGGGAAGGAAAAAGGGAUGAUUAUAGAGAUACUUGUGGAGUGAUAUCAGGAAGUUGAAUGCUAUAGUUUAGAUAUGUGUCCCCGUCCAAAUCUCAUGUUGAAUAUAAUCCCCAGUAUUGAAGGCAGUGCCUUGUGGGAGGUGAUUGGAUCGUGGGGGCGGAUUUCUCGUGAAUGGUUUAGCACCAUUCUCUUGGCACUGUCCUCAUGAUGUUAAGUUCUUGCAAGAUCUAGCUGCUUAGAAGUGUGUCCCCUUGCUAGCCCUCUCUCGCUCUUGCUUUCACCAUUUGAUGUGCCUGUUACCCCUUCACCUUCUGCCAUAAGUUUCCUGAGGCCUCCCCAGAAGCCAAACGGAUGCCAGCAUCAUGUUUUCUGUACAGCCUGCAGCACCAUGAGCCAAUUAAACCUCUUUUCUUUGUAAAUUACCCAGUUUCAGGUAUUUAUUUAUAAUGAUGCAAGAAUGGCCUAAUACAUUGAGCAAGUCCUAUUUCCUCUUAUUUGUAGAAACCACUGACUGAGCACUCUGAAGGAGAGUUAAAGGUUUUAAGAGAAUGAAGAAAAUUUCAAACGUUCACUAAGGAGAACGGGCAAAAGAGUUGACUAAGAAAAUAGAAAAGGAUACCAAGAAAUCAUUGAAGAAGAGAUUAAAGUUAGAGGACAUUAUUUUGUAUUUGUAUAAAUGUGCAUGUUUCCUCAAUUUUUCUCCAGCACAUACAUUACUCUGGGCAUGAGCACAGAAAGCAAGACAAUUGCCAGGAGAAUGUAAUGAAAAAUGAGUUGAAACACUGAAAAAGAUAAAGUACAUAAGUGGAAUAUGAACAGAUUAGGGAAUAAAAUAAAGAAGAUGAGUGGGCUGUGGAAAUAAAAGGAAUCACAAAACUAGAGGCUUAAUGAAGUUAAAGAACAUGUGGACUAGGAAAACCAAGAUGGUUGAAAAGACAGCAGAUUGUGAACACACAAAAAAUUCUGAGCUUAAAUUGUCAGCAGCAGUAAAGCAAUAUCAAGUAAUGAGAAUUCCAGCUGUGAGGCUGUAUGAGUGAUUUGCUGGAGAGGCACAGAAUUAUAGGUCAAUGGAGAUAAAGUCAUCCAUAAACUACAAACAAGGGAGUUGAAGGAGCCAUCCAGGGACAUUUAGAAAUGUGGUUUAGUCAAAUGGCAUGAAACUUUCAGAAAUAAAGGUAUGAAUACAUUAUGUUAAAUGUCAUAAAAACACCACUGUUAUGGUAUGAAACAACUUCACAAUUUCUAAAGGCUUAUUUUUCAUGCUUUAUACUUGAUGACUUGAUAUUAGCUUGUGGUUAAUAAUUUGUAACAAAUAUAACAUGAAUAAAGAUGCAACAUAAACUAGGUAAGUUCUAUAAACUGAAUAGAACAUGGAAAAUUAGUACACACAGUGCUAUGGGGUGAUGACAAACUGAAAGCAAGUGUUAUUGUUUUUGUUUUGUUUCGUAUUGUUUUGUUUUGUUUUGUAUUGUUUUGUUUUGUUUUGUGACGGGGUCUCUCUCUGUUGCCCAGGCUGGAGUGCAGUGGCACCAUCUCCGCUCACUGCAAGCUGCGCCUCAUGGGUUCACGCCAUUCUUCUGCCUCAGCCUGCCGAGUAGCUGGGACUACAGGCACCCGCCACUCCGCCCAGCUAAUUUUUUUGUAUUUUUAGUAGAGACAGGGUUUCACCGUGUUAGCCAGGAUGGUCUCCAUGUCCUGACCUCGUGAUCCGCCCGCCUCGGCCUCCCAAAGUGCUGGGAUUACAGGCGUGAGCCACCGUGCCUGGCGAAAUCAAGUUUUAUAAUGAUGUUUUCAAUUUGUAUAAUAAAUAUUUCCGAGUAUUAACAUUUUAUCUUUCAUACUUUUUCAAAUGUAGGUCUUUUAAUACUCCAAUUAAGAUUUUCUUAUUACCUGAGGAAAGAAGUGAUUAUUAGCAUGGCAAAAAACAAGGAAUAGAGUAUGUUUUGAAAACUGUCAUGUUGAAGAUUUAUUUCUAUGUGCAUUAUUUUUCUGUAAACAUGUAAACAGAUAG
This is a long non-coding RNA of Pan troglodytes (chimpanzee), 3691 nucleotides long. The record is from Ensembl. NCBI's taxonomy places the organism in Eukaryota, Metazoa, Chordata, Mammalia, Primates, Hominidae.